Molecule: ribosomal RNA, 815 nt
Filed under: uncultured bacterium
Lineage: Bacteria
Description: bacterial SSU rRNA
Rfam family: Bacterial small subunit ribosomal RNA
Source: RNAcentral
GAGUUUGAUCAUGGCUCAGGAUGAACGCUAGCGGCACGCUUCAUACAUGCAAGUCGAGGGGCAGCAUAAAGUACUUGUACUUUGAUGGCGACCGGCGAACGGGUGCGUAACGCGUAUGCAACUUACCUUUUACUAGAGAAUAGCCAAGAGAAAUUUUGAUUAAUGCUCUAUACUCUUUUUAACUCACAUGAGUUUUUAAGAAAAGCUCCGGCGGUAAAAGAUGGGCAUGCGUCCUAUUAGCUUGUAGGUGAGGUAACGGCUCACCUAAGCUCCGAUAGGUAGGGGUCCUGAGAGGGAGAUCCCCCACACUGGUACUGAGACACGGACCAGACUUCUACGGAAGGCAGCAGUAAGGAAUAUUGGACAAUGGAGGAAACUCUGAUCCAGCGAUGCCGCGUGAAGGAAGACGGCCCUAUGGGUUGUAAACUUCUUUUAUACAGGAAGAAACCUUUCCACGUGUGGAAAGCUGACGGUACUGUAAGAAUAAGGAUCGGCUAACUCCGUGCCAGCAGCCGCGGUAAUACGGAGGAUCCAGGCGUUAUCCGGAAUUAUUGGGUUUAAAGGGUCCGCAGGCUGUUUGUUAAGUCAGGGGUGAAAUCCUACCGCUCAACGGUAGAACUGCCUUUGAUACUGGCAAACUUGAGUUAUUGUGAAGUAGUUAGAAUGUGUAGUGUAGCGGUGAAAUGCAUAGAUAUUACACAGAAUACCAAUUGCGAAGGCAGAUUACUAACAAUUAACUGACGCUGAGGGACGAAAGCGUGGGUAGCGAACAGGAUUAGAUACCCUGGUAGUCCACGCCGUAAACGAUGGUCACU